CAUAAUUUUACAUUUUCAAUCAAAUAUUUACAUAAAAUUUAUCAAAUUGAAGUGUUCUCAUCGUGAUUUUUUAUAUGCACAUUAAAUAUUUUAUAAUUAGUCGAAUUUCAUAGUUUUAGAAAGAAUAAAAUAAAAUAAAAUAAAAUAAAUACGAAGAAAAAGAAAAAGAAAACGAAAAUAAAAAAAUAUCUAUAAUUCAUAAAUAUAUUACGUAUUUACGUCCC
This 224-nucleotide long non-coding RNA is filed under the name Salvia miltiorrhiza (redroot sage). Its description in RNAcentral is "long non-coding RNA (SMIL_LNC012574)". The record is from RNAcentral. Lineage: Eukaryota; Viridiplantae; Streptophyta; Magnoliopsida; Lamiales; Lamiaceae.